UUUGUUUCCCGGGGGGCUUAAGCAUAUCAAUAAGCGGAGGAAAAGAAACCAACAGGGAUUGCCCUAGUAACGGCGAGUGAAGCGGCAACAGCUCAAAUUUGAAAUCUGGCGUCUUCGGCGUCCGAGUUGUAAUUUGCAGAGGGCGCUUUGGCAUUGGCAGCGGUCCAAGUUCCUUGGAACAGGACGUCACAGAGGGUGAGAAUCCCGUACGUGGUCGCUAGCCUUUACCGUGUAAAGCCCCUUCGACGAGUCGAGUUGUUUGGGAAUGCAGCUCUAAAUGGGAGGUAAAUUUCUUCUAAAGCUAAAUACUGGCCAGAGACCGAUAGCGCACAAGUAGAGUGAUCGAAAGAUGAAAAGCACUUUGGAAAGAGAGUUAAAAAGCACGUGAAAUUGUUGAAAGGGAAGCGCUUGCAGCCAGACUUGCCUGUAGUUGCUCAUCCGGGUUUCUACCCGGUGCACUCUUCUAUAGGCAGGCCAGCAUCAGUUUGGGCGGUUGGAUAAAGGUCUCUGUCAUGUACCUCCUUUCGGGGAGAUCUUAUAGGGGAGACGACAUGCAACCAGCCUGGACUGAGGUCCGCGCAUCUGCUAGGAUGCUGGCGUAAUGGCUGUAAGCGGCCCGUCUUGAAACACGGACCAAGGAGUCUAACAUCUAUGCGAGUGUUUGGGUGUCAAGCCCGAACGCGUAAUGAAAGUGAACGGAGGUGGGAACCUUUCGGGGUGCACCAUCGACCGAUCCUGAUGUCUUCGGAUGGAUUUGAGUAAGAGCAUAGCUGUUGGGACCCGAAAGAUGGUGAACUAUGCUUGAAUAGGGUGAAGCCAGAGGAAACUCUGGUGGAGGCUCGCAGCGGUUCUGACGUGCAAAUCGAUCGUCAAAUUUGGGCAUAGGGGCGAAAGACUAAUCGAACUAUCUAGUAGCUGGUUCCUGCCGAAGUCCCCUCAGGAAUAAUA
Molecule: ribosomal RNA, 948 nt
Filed under: Stagonosporopsis caricae
Lineage: Eukaryota; Fungi; Ascomycota; Dothideomycetes; Pleosporales; Didymellaceae
Description: partial large subunit ribosomal RNA
Rfam family: Eukaryotic large subunit ribosomal RNA
Source: RNAcentral